This 66-nucleotide transfer RNA is filed under the name Peltospira smaragdina. RNAcentral's name for it is "tRNA-Phe". Lineage: Eukaryota; Metazoa; Mollusca; Gastropoda; Neomphalida; Peltospiridae. The record is from RNAcentral.
GUUUUGAUAGCUUAUAUAGAGCAUAGCGUUGAAGGUGCUAAGGAGGGUCAGUUAACUCUUAAAACA